RNAcentral lists this long non-coding RNA (744 nucleotides) under Lotus japonicus. RNAcentral describes it as "long non-coding RNA (LJAP_LNC001870)". Lineage: Eukaryota; Viridiplantae; Streptophyta; Magnoliopsida; Fabales; Fabaceae. The record is from RNAcentral.
CCACGACCCAUCUCAUUUUCUCUCCCUUGUUUUGCCUCUGUGACAACGCCCUUCAUCUAUCCUCUUCUUCAAUCUUCUUUCCUUCACUAGAAUUACACCAAAUUCAAUCAUGGGAAUACACAAUCAUGAAUGGGAAAUUCGGAAUUUGAGUUGAAGAGUUCUUGACAUAAGUUUUGGAUUUAGGAUUUAUGCUCUGAGGAAGGAGAAGAGUACCCACUCUACAAAAAUUUCACUUUGGAUGCUAUUGAAGUAUACCUUCAACCCACAAAUUUCAAUAAUAGUAUUAUAGCACAGUUUAUAAUUAAGUAGAAUUAUUUUUAGGGCUUUAUUUACACAUUUGAGAAUUUUAUGGUUGCUCAUGGGUAAUAUGUCAAAAGGGUAAUAAAUGCUGAAGGUUUGAAGUUGGUUCUGUGUUCAGAUUCGUCAGCGAGUGGAUCGUUCGGUGGUCGUAGGAUUGCUGAAAGCAAUCGUGGUUAUCCUUCAUAGUUGUGAGUGGUUUUCCAAUCACUGUGGCUUAUUUUUAAUAAUUAUAUAACUGAUGAUUUGAUUAUUUUAUCAUAUGGCUUAUUUAUUUAAAUUGGGGAAACAUGCUUUACAGUUCUUGAAUUAUCUGAAAGUUGGUUUUAUGAAGUUGAUUUGAGUCUGCUUAUGAACUGACAUGAGAAAGUAAUUUAUAUUGCUUUGAUUUUGGAAAUUAUGUGAAACUGAGAUUGUGAACUUGGAAAGUUGAUUUUGAGACUUUUG